Molecule: ribosomal RNA, 700 nt
Filed under: uncultured bacterium
Lineage: Bacteria
Description: bacterial SSU rRNA
Rfam family: Bacterial small subunit ribosomal RNA
Source: RNAcentral
UGCUGAUUUGCUGACGAGUGGCGGACGGGUGAGUAAUGUCUGGGAAACUGCCUGAUGGAGGGGGAUAACUACUGGAAACGGUAGCUAAUACCGCAUAACGUCGCAAGACCAAAGAGGGGGACCUUCGGGCCUCUUGCCAUCGGAUGUGCCCAGAUGGGAUUAGCUAGUAGGUGGGGUAACGGCUCACCUAGGCGACGAUCCCUAGCUGGUCUGAGAGGAUGACCAGCCACACUGGAACUGAGACACGGUCCAGACUCCUACGGGAGGCAGCAGUGGGGAAUAUUGCACAAUGGGCGCAAGCCUGAUGCAGCCAUGCCGCGUGUAUGAAGAAGGCCUUCGGGUUGUAAAGUACUUUCAGCGGGGAGGAAGGGAGUAAAGUUAAUACCUUUGCUCAUUGACGUUACCCGCAGAAGAAGCACCGGCUAACUCCGUGCCAGCAGCCGCGGUAAUACGGAGGGUGCAAGCGUUAAUCGGAAUUACUGGGCGUAAAGCGCACGCAGGCGGUUUGUUAAGUCAGAUGUGAAAUCCCCGGGCUCAACCUGGGAACUGCAUCUGAUACUGGCAAGCUUGAGUCUCGUAGAGGGGGGUAGAAUUCCAGGUGUAGCGGUGAAAUGCGUAGAGAUCUGGAGGAAUACCGGUGGCGAAGGCGGCCCCCUGGACGAAGACUGACGCUCAGGUGCGAAAGCGUGGGGAGCAAACA